This is a microRNA precursor of Gallus gallus (chicken), 85 nucleotides long. Lineage: Eukaryota; Metazoa; Chordata; Aves; Galliformes; Phasianidae. The record is from Ensembl.
UCUAUCCUGUGAUGUUCUAUAACUGAGGUUUUGAAUGGCAGCUUUUGACAUGUCAAGCCAGGAAAUGUAGAGGAAGUCACCAGAG